This 560-nucleotide ribosomal RNA is filed under the name uncultured bacterium. Its description in RNAcentral is "bacterial SSU rRNA". It matches the Rfam family "Bacterial small subunit ribosomal RNA", at positions 359 to 917 of the family's 1533-position model. The record is from RNAcentral.
GUUUUAUUCGGCGAAGCCUGACGGAGCACGCCGCGUGAGUGAUGAAGGUCUUCGGAUCGUAAAACUCUGUUAUUAGGGAAGAACAUAUGUGUAAGUAACUGUGCACAUCUUGACGGUACCUAAUCAGAAAGCCACGGCUAACUACGUGCCAGCAGCCGCGGUAAUACGUAGGUGGCAAGCGUUAUCCGGAAUUAUUGGGCGUAAAGCGCGCGUAGGCGGUUUUUUAAGUCUGAUGUGAAAGCCCACGGCUCAACCGUGGAGGGUCAUUGGAAACUGGAAAACUUGAGUGCAGAAGAGGAAAGUGGAAUUCCAUGUGUAGCGGUGAAAUGCGCAGAGAUAUGGAGGAACACCAGUGGCGAAGGCGACUUUCUGGUCUGUAACUGACGCUGAUGUGCGAAAGCGUGGGGAUCAAACAGGAUUAGAUACCCUGGUAGUCCACGCCGUAAACGAUGAGUGCUAAGUGUUAGGGGGUUUCCGCCCCUUAGUGCUGCAGCUAACGCAUUAAGCACUCCGCCUGGGGAGUACGACCGCAAGGUUGAAACUCAAAGGAAUUUGACGGA